Molecule: ribosomal RNA, 1491 nt
Filed under: uncultured Cytophagales bacterium
Lineage: Bacteria; Pseudomonadati; Bacteroidota; Sphingobacteriia; Sphingobacteriales
Description: bacterial SSU rRNA
Rfam family: Bacterial small subunit ribosomal RNA
Source: RNAcentral
GAGUUUGAUCCUGGCUCAGGAUGAACGCUAGCGGCAGGCCUAACACAUGCAAGUCGAGGGGCAGCACGGUGUAGCAAUACACUGGUGGCGACCGGCGCACGGGUGAGUAACGCGUAUGCAACCUACCCAUAACAAGGGGAUAGCUCCCGGAAACGGGGAUUAAUACCCUAUAGUAUCCAGAUGGCGCAUGCCAAUUGGAUUAAAACUACGGUGGUUAUGGAUGGGCAUGCGUGCCAUUAGUUAGUUGGCGGGGUAACGGCCCACCAAGACAGUGAUGGCUAGGGGGUCUAAAAGGAUGAUCCCCCACACUGGUACUGAGACACGGACCAGACUCCUACGGGAGGCAGCAGUGAGGAAUAUUGGUCAAUGGGCGAGAGCCUGAACCAGCCAUGCCGCGUGCAGGAAGACGGCCCUACGGGUUGUAAACUGCUUUUGUUUGGGAAUAAAAGGCGCUACGCGUAGUGCACUGAAGGUACCAGAUGAAUAAGCAUCGGCUAACUCCGUGCCAGCAGCCGCGGUAAUACGGAGGAUGCGAGCGUUAUCCGGAUUUAUUAGGUUUAAAGGGUGUGUAGGCGGAAACUUAAGUCAGUGGUGAAAUCCCCCGGCUCAACCGGGGAACUGCCAUAGAUACUGGGUUUCUUGAGUACAGUUGAAGUAGGCGGAAUGUGUAAUGUAGCGGUGAAAUGCAUAGAUAUUACACAGAACACCGAUUGCGAAGGCAGCUUGCUAAGCUGUUACUGACGCUGAUGCACGAAAGCGUGGGUAGCGAACAGGAUUAGAUACCCUGGUAGUCCACGCCGUAAACGAUGAUUACUCGUUGUUGGCGAUAUAAAGUCAGCGACUGAGCGAAAGCAUUAAGUAAUCCACCUGGGGAGUACGGCGGCAACGCUGAAACUCAGAGGAAUUGACGGGGGCCCGCACAAGCGGAGGAACAUGUGGUUUAAUUCGAUGAUACGCGAGGAACCUUACCUGGGCUUAAAUGUAGCGUGACCGUGGCCGAAAGGUCACUUCCCAGCAAUGGGCAGGUUACAAGGUGCUGCAUGGCUGUCGUCAGCUCGUGCCGUGAGGUGUCGGGUUAAGUCCCAUAACGAGCGCAACCCCUAUUGUUAGUUGCCAGCGGGUAAAGCCGGGAACUCUAACGAGACUGCCACCGUAAGGUGAGAGGAAGGUGGGGAUGACGUCAAGUCAGCACGGCCCUUAUGUCCAGGGCUACACACGUGUUACAAUGGUCGGUACAAAGGGCAGCUACCUGGUGACAGGAUGCUAAUCUCAAAAACCGAUCCCAGUUCGGAUCGAAGUCUGCAACUCGACUUCGUGAAGUUGGAUUCGCUAGUAAUCGUAUAUCAGCAAUGAUACGGUGAAUACGUUCCCGGGCCUUGUACACACCGCCCGUCAAGCCAUGGAAGCCGGGGGUACCUGAAGUCCGUAACCGUAAGGAGCGGCCUAGGGUAAAACUGGUGACUGGGGCUAAGUCGUAACAAGGUAACCGUA